AUUACCGAGUUUAAACUCCCAAACCCAUGUGAACAUACCUAUUGUUGCUUCGGCGGGAUUGCCCCGGGCGCCUCGUGUGCCCCGGAUCAGGCGCCCGCCUAGGAACUUUAACUCUUGUUUUAUUUUGAAUCUUCUGAGUAGUUUUUACAAAUAAAUAAAAACUUUCAACAACGGAUCUCUUGGUUCUGGCAUCGAUGAAGAACGCAGCGAAAUGCGAUAAGUAAUGUGAAUUGCAGAAUUCAGUGAAUCAUCGAAUCUUUGAACGCACAUUGCGCCCGCCAGUAUUCUGGCGGGCAUGCCUGUCUGAGCGUCAUUUCAACCCUCAUGCCCCUAGGGCGUGGUGUUGGGGAUCGGCCAAAGCCCGCGAGGGACGGCCGGCCCCUAAAUCUAGUGGCGGACCCGUCGUGGCCUCCUCUGCGAAGUAGUGAUAUUCCGCAUCGGAGAGCGACGAGCCCCUGCCGUUAAACCCCCAACUUUCCAAGGUUGACCUCAGAUCAGGUAGGAAUACCCGCUGAACUUAAGCAUAUCAAUAAGCGGAGGAAAAGAAACCAACAGGGAUUGCCCUAGUAACGGCGAGUGAAGCGGCAACAGCUCAAAUUUGAAAUCUGGCGCAAGCCCGAGUUGUAAUUUGUAGAGGAUGUUUCUGGCGACGUGCCUUCCGAGUUCCCUGGAACGGGACGCCAUAGAGGGUGAGAGCCCCGUACGGUUGGAUGCCUAGCCUCUGUGAAACUCCUUCGACGAGUCGAGUAGUUUGGGAAUGCUGCUCUAAAUGGGAGGUAUACGUCUUCUAAAGCUAAAUACCGGCCAGAGACCGAUAGCGCACAAGUAGAGUGAUCGAAAGAUGAAAAGCACUUUGAAAAGAGGGUUAAAAAGUACGUGAAAUUGUUGAAAGGGAAGCGUUCAUGACCAGACUUGAGCAGGUUGAUCACCCGUGGUUCUCCGCGGUGCACUCUGCCUGCUCAGGCCAGCAUCAGUUCGCUCCGGGGGAUAAAGGCUCUGGGAAUGUGGCUCCUUCGGGAGUGUUAUAGCCCACUGCGUAAUACCCUGGGGUGGACUGA
RNAcentral lists this ribosomal RNA (1058 nucleotides) under fungal sp. Its description in RNAcentral is "eukaryotic LSU rRNA". The stretch from base 485 to 1058 matches the Rfam family "Eukaryotic large subunit ribosomal RNA", at positions 1 to 589 of the family's 3401-position model. Lineage: Eukaryota; Fungi. The record is from RNAcentral.